Molecule: ribosomal RNA, 445 nt
Filed under: uncultured bacterium
Lineage: Bacteria
Description: bacterial SSU rRNA
Rfam family: Bacterial small subunit ribosomal RNA
Source: RNAcentral
AACGAACGCUGGCGGCAGGCCUAACACAUGCAAGUCGAACGCCGUAGCAAUACGGAGUGGCAGACGGGUGAGUAACACGUGGGAACGUACCCUUCGGUUCGGGAUAACUCAGGGAAACUUGAGCUAAUACCGGAUACGUCCGAGAGGAGAAAGAUUUAUCGCCGAGGGAUCGGCCCGCGUCUGAUUAGCUUGUUGGUGAGGUAACGGCUCACCAAGGCGACGAUCAGCAGCUGGCUGAGAGGAUGAUCAGCCACAUUGGGACUGAGACACGGCCCAAACUCCUACGGGAGGCAGCAGUGGGGAAUAUUGGACAAUGGGCGCAAGCCUGAUCCAGCCAUGCCGCGUGAGUGAUGAAGGCCCUAGGGUUGUAAAGCUCUUUUACCCGGGAAGAUAAUGACUGUACCGGGAGAAUAAGCCCCGGCUAACUUCGUGCCAGCAGCCGCCG